ACGAACGCUGGCGGCGUGCUUAACACAUGCAGGUCGAACGGAAAGGCCCUGCUUUUGUGGGGUGCUCGAGUGGCGAACGGGUGAGUAACACAUGAGUAACCUGCCCUUGACUUUGGGAUAACUUCAGGAAACUGGGGCUAAUACCGGAUAGGAGCUCCUGCUGCAUGGUGGGGGUUGGAAAGUUUCGGCGGUUGGGGAUGGACUCGCGGCUUAUCAGCUUGUUGGUGGGGUAGUGGCUUACCAAGGCUUUGACGGGUAGCCGGCCUGAGAGGGUGACCGGCCACAUUGGGACUGAGAUACGGCCCAGACUCCUACGGGAGGCAGCAGUGGGGAAUAUUGCACAAUGGGCGGAAGCCUGAUGCAGCAACGCCGCGUGCGGGAUGACGGCCUUCGGGUUGUAAACCGCUUUCGCCUGUGACGAAGCGUGAGUGACGGUAAUGGGUAAAGAAGCACCGGCUAACUACGUG
RNAcentral lists this ribosomal RNA (467 nucleotides) under uncultured bacterium. RNAcentral's name for it is "partial 16S ribosomal RNA". It matches the Rfam family "Bacterial small subunit ribosomal RNA", at positions 29 to 507 of the family's 1533-position model. The record is from RNAcentral.